This is a non-coding RNA of Chiloscyllium plagiosum (whitespotted bambooshark), 114 nucleotides long. NCBI's taxonomy places the organism in Eukaryota, Metazoa, Chordata, Chondrichthyes, Orectolobiformes, Hemiscylliidae. The record is from RefSeq and is a predicted model, not a curated record.
AUAGCUGGUCGUGUCGUUUCGUGGCUAGUUGAUGUUCGUGGAUGCGGAUCGUUAGCUGUCUUCCUGUUUGUCGUAUAAAGUAUUUUGUGCAGUCUUUGCUCCACUAUAAUGUCC